GCCUUUAUAGUGUAUUCAGCAUAAAAGAUUGUGGCUCUUUUGGAGGGCAAAAGUCCUGGGGGUC
This 64-nucleotide transfer RNA is filed under the name Mimachlamys nobilis (noble scallop). RNAcentral's name for it is "tRNA-His". The record is from RNAcentral. Lineage: Eukaryota; Metazoa; Mollusca; Bivalvia; Pectinida; Pectinidae.